Molecule: unclassified non-coding RNA, 917 nt
Filed under: Leptosporomyces sp. GB0087510
Lineage: Eukaryota; Fungi; Basidiomycota; Agaricomycetes; Atheliales; Atheliaceae
Description: sequence contains ITS1, 5.8S rRNA gene, ITS2, 28S rRNA gene
Rfam family: Eukaryotic large subunit ribosomal RNA (bases 530-917)
Source: RNAcentral
AAUUACCUGCGAGGGUUGUUGCUGGCCUCUCGGGGCAUGUGCACGCCUGAGCUCUUAAUCCACUUACACCUGUGAACCCAAUGUGGGGACGUCCUGAAAGGGGCGAUUCCCAUGUAUUUCAUAAACUCUUUGUAUGUCUCAGAAUGUCUUAUGUUUGCUUACACGCAAUCUAAAUACAACUUUCAACAACGGAUCUCUUGGCUCUCGCAUCGAUGAAGAACGCAGCGAAAUGCGAUAAGUAAUGUGAAUUGCAGAUUUUCAGUGAAUCAUCGAAUCUUUGAACGCACCUUGCGCUCCUUGGUAUUCCGAGGAGCAUGCCUGUUUGAGUGUCAUUAAAUUCUCAACUUCACCGAUUUGUUUUGAGUGAAGCUUGGACUUGGAGCGUGCUGGCCCCGACCGGGUCGGCUCCUCUUUAAAUGCAUCAGCGGAGUCAUCAUGGACUUGCUGGUAUCGGUGUGAUAAUCACAUUGCGCCGUUAACCUGAGUCUCUGGUCCGCUUACAAUGGUCUUCGGACAACAUAUCAAAUUUUGACCUCAAAUCAGGUAGGACUACCCGCUGAACUUAAGCAUAUCAAUAAGCGGAGGAAAAGAAACUAACAAGGAUUCCCCUAGUAACUGCGAGUGAAGCGGGAAAAGCUCAAAUUUAAAAUCUGGCGGUCUCCGGCCGUCCGAGUUGUAAUCUGGAGAAGCGUUUUCUGCGUUGGACCGUGUACAAGUUUUCUGGAAUGGAACGUCAUAGAGGGUGAGAAUCCCGUCUUUGACACGGACUACCAAUGCUUUGUGAUACGCUCUCGAAGAGUCGAGUUGUUUGGGAAUGCAGCUCAAAAUGGGUGGUAAAUUCCAUCUAAAGCUAAAUAUUGGCGAGAGACCGAUAGCGAACAAGUACCGUGAGGGAAAGAGAAAAGCACUUUGAAAGA